UACCAAUUUGGUGAAUCUCGCAUGAUGUAUGAGAUUGAAUCCAUGAUUGACAUAGAACAGCCAGAACAUCAUGCUAAUGACCCUGAAUCCGAGCCUGUUAUGCUUGAUGCAAUCCCCACUUUGAAGUUCAACCAAGAGGCCUUCAGUGCCAUUGAAGAUACACAGUUAAAGAUCUUCUUCAAUUCCA
Molecule: non-coding RNA, 187 nt
Organism: Arachis ipaensis
Lineage: Eukaryota; Viridiplantae; Streptophyta; Magnoliopsida; Fabales; Fabaceae
Source: RefSeq, a predicted model, not a curated record